CCCCGGCCCCCCGGGGGCCUGGGCAAUGUCUCGGAUUCCUCCCGCGCCCCCUGGUACCUCGGAUUGAGCUCCACUCCCAGGAACGCGCGCUGACCCCGCCGACCUCCGCGAUCCCCUGGCCCAGAUCUACCCCCUCAGGUCCCCAGGCUCGUCCUGCCUGCACGGCUUGGCUCGUGGGUCCCCUCUUCCUUCCCCACCCUACCCCGCACACUCACGGGCUCUCCCAGGGCAGCGCCCAGGCCCGCGUGCCCAGUGUCUCAGACUGGUUCUGGCCUGGCUGACCUCCCCGACCAGAGGAAGGGCUGGGCCGCUGGCGUUGGGGUACCGACCCCGGCCUCCCCACAACACAGUUCCUGGAAAACUUAAAAAGCGCUUUAGUGAGAUGAGAUGACAGUUCGGUGGAAACCCACAUGCCACAGGCCCGGGCUUCAGAGUGUGUUUCUGGGCGCUCUCUUCAGUUGAGGGGUCGUUUUUGUCCCUUUCUUCCGAAACUUUCCUGUCUUUGAAUGAGCCUGCUCCUGAAACAGGUUCUAACUUUGAGCAAGUUUCAUGGGGCGAAAGUUGGAAACCAUCUAGAGGCUCCUGUUGGAGGGACUAUUAAGGACAUACGGUCACUAACCACGGGGUGGCCAGCGGGUGCCCAAAUGUGACCCCCAACGUGGGGACCUGCAUCUGUAUUGGGAGCAGGUAUGGGAUCCCAAGCCUUACUUGGCUUUUCUGACUUCUGCAGUGACCUUGCUUUGCUUUCAGUAAGGAUGGAGCAGAGCUGGGGGAGGAGGCGUAAACGGCAACAGAAAAGAACCCCAGAAUUUUCAGGUGAGGGGGUCUUCCUCCUCCUGUUUAAUAAAGACUCAUAUUCACGAGGCCACCGGGUCUGGCCCUGCCCAGAUAUUUGGGGGUCAGUGCAGGUGGCAGGGAGCUGGUGGAGCCCCCCACCCACCACACCACACCAGCACUAGUUGGUUGGGCAGGCUGUGGGCUGACCACUGGACCUGGUCCUCGCUCCACUGGCUGCAGUGAGGCAGCCUGUCCUUCUCUGGGUCGCUUUAGUGAAUUGGUGGGAAGGUGGAUGACCUUGUCCAAAGCCUUUCUGUUGGUGUCAGGACUGAGAAUGCUGUCCCAACUUCCUCCGGCUGCCACAACAAAGGGACGCAAACUGUGGGGCCUAGAAAACACAACAGCCUUGUGUACUCUCACGGUUCUGGAGGCUGGAAGGCAGAAAUCAAGAUCCUCUUUAAAAAAUAAAAUCAAGCCAAAGCAGGAGUUUAAUUGCUAACGGAUUGAUGAAGUGACAUUUUCCACUAAAAGACGAAGAUCGUUCUGAGAAAUAAAGUCAGAAUUAUAUUUAGGGCUCAUGAGAAAGAAUCGAGUAAUAUCAGGAAUC
Long non-coding RNA from Bos taurus (domestic cattle), 1384 nucleotides. Lineage: Eukaryota; Metazoa; Chordata; Mammalia; Artiodactyla; Bovidae. The record is from Ensembl.